This 253-nucleotide ribosomal RNA is filed under the name uncultured bacterium. RNAcentral's name for it is "partial 16S ribosomal RNA". It matches the Rfam family "Bacterial small subunit ribosomal RNA", at positions 524 to 776 of the family's 1533-position model. The record is from RNAcentral.
UACAGAGGGGGCAAGCGUUGUUCGGAAUUACUGGGCGUAAAGGGCGCGUAGGCGGCCUUCUAAGUCGAACGUGAAAUCCCCGGGCUCAACCCGGGAACUGCGUCCGAUACUGGAAGGCUUGAAUCCGGGAGAGGGAUGCGGAAUUCCAGGUGUAGCGGUGAAAUGCGUAGAUAUCAGGAGGAACACCGGUGGCGAAGGCGGAUCUCUGGGCCAUUACUGACGCUGAGGAGCGAAAGCGUGGGGAGCGAACAGG